Molecule: non-coding RNA, 85 nt
Organism: Felis catus (domestic cat)
Lineage: Eukaryota; Metazoa; Chordata; Mammalia; Carnivora; Felidae
Source: Rfam
GCCUGGGGGGCUCAUUCAGUUAAGCAUCUGACUUCGGCUCAGGUCACGAUCUCGCAGUGCGUGGGUUCGAGCCCCACUUCGGGCU